CAGUUCGGACUGCAGGCUGCAACUCGCCUGCACGAAGCCGGAGUUGCUAGUAAUCGCGGAUCAGAAUGCCGCGGUGAAUGCGUUCCCGGGUCUUGUACACACCGCCCGUCACACCAUGGAAGUUGGGGGUGCCCAAAGCCGGCAGGGAAAUAUGCUGUCUAAGGCAAAACCAAUGACUGGGGUGAAGUCGUAACAAGGUAAC
RNAcentral lists this ribosomal RNA (202 nucleotides) under uncultured bacterium. RNAcentral's name for it is "partial 16S ribosomal RNA". It matches the Rfam family "Bacterial small subunit ribosomal RNA", at positions 1289 to 1500 of the family's 1533-position model. The record is from RNAcentral.